GUUGUUCCUCUCUGAGGUGCAGUUGCAGGUGGUUGUUCCUCUCUGAGGUGCAGUUGCAGGUGGUUGUUCCUCUCUGAGGUGCAGUUGCAGGUGGUUGUUCCUCUCUGAGGUGCAGUUGCAGGUGGUUGUUCCUCUCUGAGGUGCAGUUGCAGGUGGUUGUUCCUCUCUGAGGUGCAGUUGCAGGUGGUUGUUCCUCUCUGAGGUGCAGUUGCAGGUGGUUGUUCCUCUCUGAGGUGCAGUUGCAGGUGGUUGUUCCUCUCUGAGGUGCAGUUGCAGGUGGUUGUUCCUCUCUGAGGUGCAGUUGCAGGUG
Molecule: long non-coding RNA, 310 nt
Organism: Acomys russatus (golden spiny mouse)
Lineage: Eukaryota; Metazoa; Chordata; Mammalia; Rodentia; Muridae
Exons: 4
Source: RefSeq, a predicted model, not a curated record